AAGUGCCUGAAAAAGGAUUAAUCUGAUAGAUUAAAUUAUGUAUAUUUUCCUAACUAUACCUU
This 62-nucleotide transfer RNA is filed under the name Macrostemum radiatum. RNAcentral's name for it is "tRNA-Ile". Lineage: Eukaryota; Metazoa; Arthropoda; Insecta; Trichoptera; Hydropsychidae. The record is from RNAcentral.